Molecule: long non-coding RNA, 1556 nt
Organism: Triplophysa dalaica
Lineage: Eukaryota; Metazoa; Chordata; Actinopteri; Cypriniformes; Nemacheilidae
Exons: 4
Source: RefSeq, a predicted model, not a curated record
CGGGCUCGAAUCACGAAGGAGAUUCAGAGUUAAUAAGAGAACGAGCGACCGGACCGUCGAUGAGAAAGGACCGGGCCCGAACAUGUUUUACGUUUGUAUUUGUGUAGUAUUCGCCGGCCGUCGACCGCGAGGGGCGGCCGGCUGUAAUUUUUACUUUUAUUUGUUUAAAUGUUUAUUUAAAUGUCUUCAGGUUCCCGUAUCCUUCCUUCCCUCCCUAUCAUGAAUUUCUCUACAUUGGUGCCAAAACCCGGGAGGAAGGAGAGACAUGCUGUCGGAGAGUCCUCGCCGCCGAGUGGCCUCGCGGUGCCGGAGAGUUCGGGCAGCGCGUAUGAAGGGCGUCCGCCAGUGGCUGCCCGAAGCGGUGGAUCUGGGAAACGGAAGUGCACAGUAGGGCCACAGUCAAAGCCUCGGUGGAACGGCCACCUGUGCCGCCGCGCCCCUGGGAGGGUGUGGGGUGGCUAUCUUCCAAGCGGGGUUGUUGCCGCCGUCCGCCAGAGGCCGAAGCCUGCGUCGUCCGCCCAAGGGGGAGGAGCAGGGGGCGGGGAACACGCCCCGACUCUGCGCUAAAGGAGCCACCGCCGGCCGCCAGGGGGCGGACGGUCGAGCGGUCCACCGAGGGCCCAGGGCCACCGCGAAGGAGAGUACCCCGGCUGGUUGAGGAAUGAGCGGCAGUUUAUCUUUUCGGGGAACUGGACUAUAUAUUUUUUUCCCCUCUUUCCGGUCGCUCCAAGGGCUCCCGUCUCCGUUGUCUCGUCCCGUCACUACAUUUUAUUAAUUAUUUGUUUUCCCUUCAUUUAGUUUGUGUAGAUUCAGAGUGUGUAGUUAAUAACUUUACUGAUUUCUUUUCAUUUAUUAUUUAAAAUGGAUCAUUCGCGGAAAUUGUUCAUGUUUGCUGGCUCGGGUAACAUCAGAGUGGACAUCAGCCAUGAGUCCAGGUAAAGAAUCACCAGAUUACACAACAACACAAACAAAUAUAGUGUAGCCUACUUCAAAGUGUCUUUACACAUUCCUUUCAGAGGUUUGAUUUGUGAAGGAGUGAAACUCCCUCUUCUCCCACGUCCACGUAAGAUUUCAUAGAUGUUGUGUGUGUGACUUUACUUCAAAUCAAACAUUACAUCGAAAACAUUUUUAUCUGCAUUUAGCAAAGAAAGAGUUCAAUUUGAAGCCUCCAGUGGACCUGAGAAGUAAAGUGACUGAAGAAAAGUUGACACUUCCCAAACUCGCCGUUAGGGGGCACCAUGAGAAAAAGCGUCAGAUGUGGCGACUAUCGGGCCUCAACCUGCAGGUCUGGAUGCCCCCAGAGUGAAUAUUACACAUUGAAGUCUUUACCCCAACUGUGUUAGAUAUCAUACGUCACUUCCACUUCUGGAAGGUUUUAGACCAUCCAAACCUAUCCAACCUCGUCUAGCGAUGGUUGGACACAGGAGGACGUUCAGGACUCGGCAGUCAGGCAAGAACCUGGAGCUCAUGGUCACCAACAGUCCAGGAGCAACACGAGGGAUAAGUCAAUUUAUUUAAUGUGCAAAAAAUAAAAAUCUUACAAGCGACAACAAAUA